GUACACUCCUACGGGAGGCAGCAGUGGGGAAUAUUGCACAAUGGGCGCAAGCCUGAUGCAGCGACGCCGCGUGGGGGAUGAAGGCCUUCGGGUUGUAAACUCCUUUCGCUAGGGACGAAGCUUUUUUGUGACGGUACCUAGAUAAGAAGCACCGGCUAACUACGUGCCAGCAGCCGCGGUAAUACGUAGGGUGCGAGCGUUGUCCGGAAUUACUGGGCGUAAAGGGCUCGUAGGUGGUUUGUCGCGUCGUCUGUGAAAUUCUGGGGCUUAACUCCGGGCGUGCAGGCGAUACGGGCAUAACUUGAGUGCUGUAGGGGUAACUGGAAUUCCUGGUGUAGCGGUGAAAUGCGCAGAUAUCAGGAGGAACACCGAUGGCGAAGGCAGGUUACUGGGCAGUUACUGACGCUGAGGAGCGAAAGCAUGGGUAGCGAACAGGAUUAGAUACCCCAGUAGUCCCA
Molecule: ribosomal RNA, 458 nt
Filed under: uncultured organism
Description: partial 16S ribosomal RNA
Rfam family: Bacterial small subunit ribosomal RNA
Source: RNAcentral